This 722-nucleotide ribosomal RNA is filed under the name Staphylococcus epidermidis. RNAcentral describes it as "bacterial SSU rRNA". It matches the Rfam family "Bacterial small subunit ribosomal RNA", at positions 50 to 755 of the family's 1533-position model. The record is from RNAcentral. Lineage: Bacteria; Bacillati; Bacillota; Bacilli; Caryophanales; Staphylococcaceae.
UAUACAUGCAGUCGAGCGAACAGACGAGGAGCUUGCUCCUCUGACGUUAGCGGCGGACGGGUGAGUAACACGUGGAUAACCUACCUAUAAGACUGGGAUAACUUCGGGAAACCGGAGCUAAUACCGGAUAAUAUAUUGAACCGCAUGGUUCAAUAGUGAAAGACGGUUUUGCUGUCACUUAUAGAUGGAUCCGCGCCGCAUUAGCUAGUUGGUAAGGUAACGGCUUACCAAGGCAACGAUGCGUAGCCGACCUGAGAGGGUGAUCGGCCACACUGGAACUGAGACACGGUCCAGACUCCUACGGGAGGCAGCAGUAGGGAAUCUUCCGCAAUGGGCGAAAGCCUGACGGAGCAACGCCGCGUGAGUGAUGAAGGUCUUCGGAUCGUAAAACUCUGUUAUUAGGGAAGAACAAAUGUGUAAGUAACUAUGCACGUCUUGACGGUACCUAAUCAGAAAGCCACGGCUAACUACGUGCCAGCAGCCGCGGUAAUACGUAGGUGGCAAGCGUUAUCCGGAAUUAUUGGGCGUAAAGCGCGCGUAGGCGGUUUUUUAAGUCUGAUGUGAAAGCCCACGGCUCAACCGUGGAGGGUCAUUGGAAACUGGAAAACUUGAGUGCAGAAGAGGAAAGUGGAAUUCCAUGUGUAGCGGUGAAAUGCGCAGAGAUAUGGAGGAACACCAGUGGCGAAGGCGACUUUCUGGUCUGUAACUGACGCUGAUGUGCG